Molecule: small RNA, 87 nt
Filed under: Flavobacterium xueshanense
Lineage: Bacteria; Pseudomonadati; Bacteroidota; Flavobacteriia; Flavobacteriales; Flavobacteriaceae
Description: Flavo-1 RNA
Rfam family: Flavo-1 RNA
Source: RNAcentral
AUUCAUCUGGUGCGUAAGGGAUGAAAGCGGCAUCCUUUAUUUUCUUUCUUUAAGAAAAUAAAGAUACAGCGGACAGCCCGACCCGAA